RNAcentral lists this long non-coding RNA (1382 nucleotides) under Capsicum annuum. RNAcentral's name for it is "long non-coding RNA (CANN_LNC006040)". The record is from RNAcentral. Lineage: Eukaryota; Viridiplantae; Streptophyta; Magnoliopsida; Solanales; Solanaceae.
AGAAAUUCAACUCACGUUCUUUUCCUCUUUUUGAGCUUUCAACACUUUGGCGCGUCUGUGGAAGAAGCUUCAUAACUCAUCGUGGAAGUGUCUGAAUCACGAACGGCUUGUAGCGUUGAAAAGUAGACUCGCAAGGCUAUGUUCUACGAGAAAACCACGCUCAUCUUAUCACCAGAUCUGCCCAGGUAUCGUUUCAAAAUCAGACCUUCAGUUCUGUUUCGUCACUGUUUAAUUGUUUUGUGCAGUCUCACGAAAACUCUCAUAUCUUGACUUAGGAAUAUCAAAAUCAAGAGCUGUUUUUUGCGUUGGAAACUAAACUCGUAGAUAUACGUCUCACGUGAAAACCACAUUCAUAUUGCAUCCGAAUCGUCCCAGAUAUUGCUCCGAAUACGGCCUUCGAAUCCUGGUUCGCUUUUUUAUUCAGCUUUACGCAGCGUCACGAGAAAUUUCAUAUCUCAACGCGGAAGUGUCGAAAUCAGGUACCGUUUUUUGCAUUGAAAAUUGAUUUGCAGAGCUACGUCUUGUACGGAAACCACAACCAUAUUGCAACCAAAUCGUCCCAGAUAUUGCUCUGAAAACAGCCUUCUGAUCCUGGUUCGCUUGUUAUUUCAGCUUUGCGCAGCGUCACGAGAAAUUUCAUAUCUCAAUGUGGAAGUAUCGGAAUUAGGUUCCGUUUUUUGCAUUGGAAAGUAGACUCGCAGAUCUACGUUUCACAUGAAAACCACCAUCAUUGAACAUCUGUAUUUCUUCAGGUUCUUUUUUGAAGUUGUAGCCUAAAUCUUGUGAUACUCUACUUCUCGUCAGAUUUGGAUACUUUAUGAAUUUCUUCUUCUACUUCAAGUUUUGGGAUGCAUAACUUCUGUAAUUUGGUGAAUUCCGGACUAGAGCAAUAUUCAAAGUACCACAAGUUAUUUUACUAGUCGAGAAGACUUCAUUGCUUAGAGAUAAUGAAGAAUCCUUUUGCUUUUGCUUUAAAGAUGACAUCUUCAAAGGACUCCAAAUAUGCAUUCAGUCUUUAUACUUUUCUUUAUUUUGCUCUUUUACUAUUUAUUUUUUUUGUAGAGCCGUUCACAUUUUCGACUCAUGCAGGCCAGGAGUGAUUUGACUUACAAUUUAAGAUCGUGCAUCAAUGAGUAGUUUGAUUUAUAGUUUAGGCUCGUGCAUUGAGGAGCAGUUUGACUUGCAGUUUAGGCUCGUGCAUCGAGGAGCAGCUUGACUUGCAGUUUAGGCUCGUGCAUCGAGGAGCAGCUUGACUUGUAGUUUAGGCUCGUGCAUCGAGGAGCGGCUUGACUUGCAGUUUAGGCUCGUGCAUCGAGGAGCAGCUUGACUUGUAGUUUAGGCUCGUGCAUCGAGGAGCGGCUUGACUUGCAGUUUAGGCUCGU